This is a long non-coding RNA of Oncorhynchus keta (chum salmon), 705 nucleotides long. RefSeq lists it as uncharacterized. Lineage: Eukaryota; Metazoa; Chordata; Actinopteri; Salmoniformes; Salmonidae. The transcript is spliced from 2 exons. The record is from RefSeq and is a predicted model, not a curated record.
UAAUUACAAACAUCUGACCGAGGACCACAGUUUAGGGCACAUUACUUACACAACUUUCUGCAACUUUCUGCAAUAAUCAACAUUUGACUCUUUCAUCAUUCUCUACCAUCCCUCAAGUAUCUCACUUUCACCUGGACUCUAACACUAUCCCUCAAGUUGUUGUAGCCAGGCACCACUCCAUCAGCAUGCCCCUGCCUCAGCUCCUGCAGCUCCGGCCCCAGCUCCUCCAACUCCACCACAAGCAAGAUGGUGAUUGUCACAGAGGAAAUGGUGGACGGCAAGGUGUAGGCAACGGGUUAACACCAUUGAAAUAUAAUUAGUAGAAUGGGUAUAGGAAAUGAGAGGCCAGCACAUGGAAUAUUGCUGCUCCCCAUUGCUUUAUUCAUGCAACCUAAAAUACGUUUCAACUUAUACAAAGGGAAUAUUCACCUGAAACGACGAUCUUCAUUAUCUUUGUUAUUUGUUAAGGGCAGCUCUGUUUAACUCUAGUAUGGGGUGUCCAUACCAUCCUCCUAUUCUUUCUGGAAUGGCUCAAGCCCCUCAGACACCCAUCAUGGAACAUUGACUUCAAUGGGUUUUCUUUUCUGGUAAUUCUAUUUCUAUGCUUAACACCUCCAGAAAAACAUAUUCCACUACAUCUGGAUGGAACACCAACAGACCCCAUUGUGAAUACAAUAAAGAUGCUCUGACUUACUGACACCAUCA